UUACGGUCAUAUUACGCUGAAACAUUGGUUCCCGUACGAUCAGCGAAGUUAAGCAACGUCGAGCCUGGUCAGUACCAAGAUAGAUGAGCGCUUGGAAAUACCAGGUGCUGUAA
Molecule: non-coding RNA, 113 nt
Organism: Acanthosepion pharaonis
Lineage: Eukaryota; Metazoa; Mollusca; Cephalopoda; Sepiida; Sepiidae
Source: the annotation of a GenBank genome assembly